Molecule: ribosomal RNA, 119 nt
Organism: Lepisosteus oculatus (spotted gar)
Lineage: Eukaryota; Metazoa; Chordata; Actinopteri; Semionotiformes; Lepisosteidae
Source: Ensembl
UCCAGCAGCCAUGUCACCCUGCAACUCACAACUGGCAACCCACUGAAGCUAAGCAGGUGUGAGCCUGGUCAGUACCUGGAUGGGAGACCUCCUGGGAAAAACUAAGGUUGCUGCUGGAA